Molecule: ribosomal RNA, 1213 nt
Filed under: Bothriocroton undatum (goanna tick)
Lineage: Eukaryota; Metazoa; Arthropoda; Arachnida; Ixodida; Ixodidae
Description: 16S ribosomal RNA
Source: RNAcentral
UUUAAAAAGUACUUUUUUUAAUUUUUGUAAAAAAACUAAAGAAUAUUUAAAAUGAAAUCUAACAGAAACUGCAAAGGAGAAUUAUUAAAAAUUAAAUAGUAAGUUUAGUGUACCUUUUGUAUAAGGGAUUUUUUAAAAAAAAUAAAAUUUUAUUUUUCUCGAAAUUAAUUGAUCUAUUUAGAAAUUACAAAAAUCUGUAUUUCAAAAUAGAAUUUUAAUUUUUAAAUAGAAGUGAAAUGCUUGUCAAAAUUAAUGAUAUCUAGUUAUUAAAAAUAAUUAAAUAUUUGCUUAUUUUCAAAUUAUAAUAAUUUAUAAAAAAAAUAAGAAAAAAAUUAAGGGAUAAGCUUUAAUUUUAUUUAAAAUAAAUUAAAGCUUCUUUUAAAAAAGAAUUAAAAUUUUUCUAAAUAUUUUAAUAAAUAAUUUAAAUUUUUUUAUUUAUAAAAAUUUAAUAAAAAAUAUUUUUAUAUUCAAUUUUAAAUAUAAACAAUAAUGAGAAUAUUAGUAUAAUAAAUAUUUUAUUUAAUAAAAAUUUAAUAAUUUUUUUAAAUUUUUAAAAAAAAUAAUUUCAAAGAAUUAAGCAAAUAGAUUUUUUGACUGUUUAUUAAAAACAUUGCAUUUAGUUUUUAUAAAAUGUAAUUUCUGCUCAAUGAAUUUUUAAAUUGCUGUAGUAUUUUAACUAUACAAAGGUAUUGUAAUAAGACUUUAAUUGAGAGCUAAGAGAAUGGAAUUUCAAAAAAUUUCUUUUUUGAAAUUAAAAAUUAAAGUUAUUUUUCUUUGUGAAGAAACAAAAAUGAAAAUUAAGGACAAGAAGACCCUAUGAAUUUUUAUUUUAUUAUACAGUAAAAUUGUAUUAGUAUAAUUAAAUUUAAUUGGGGCGAUUAAAAAAUAUAACUAACUUUUUAAAAAUUUAAAAUGAUCCUUUAUUAAAGAUAUAUUGGACAAAUACUCUAGGGAUAACAGCGUAAUAAUUUUAGAUAGUUCUUAUAGAAAAAAUAGUUUGCGACCUCGAUGUUGGAUUAGGAUACUUAUUUAAUGAAGAAGUUAAAUAAAGAAGUUUGUUCAACUUUUAAUUCCUACAUGAUCUGAGUUUAGACCGAUGUGAAUCAGGUUGGUUUCUAUCUUAAUUUUAAUUAAAUUUUAAUUAGUACGAAAGGAAUUUUAAAAUUUUAAUUUAAAAAUAAAUUUAACAGUUUUUGCAUCAAUUUUUGGACUU